AACACUAAUUCACUAUUAAAGUCACCAAAACUUAAGCAUUUUCAACAAAUAAAGUCACCAACAACAUCACCUUCUAAACAAAAGUUCACUUUUAAAGUCACCAAAACUUAAUCAUUUUCAACUAAUAAAGUCACCAACCACAUCACCUCCUAAACAAUAAUCCAUUAUUAAAGUCACCAAAACUUAAGCAUUUUCAACAAAUAAAGUCACCAACAACAUCACCUUCUAAACAAAAGUUCACUUUUAAAGUCACCAAAACUAAAGCAUUUUCAACUAAUAAAGUCACCAACCAGAUCACCUCCUAGACACAAAUUCACUAUUAAAUUCGCCAAAACUUAAGCAUUUUCAACAAAUAAAGUCACCAACAACAUCACCUUCUAAACAAAAGUUCACUUUUAAAGUCACCAAAACUAAAGCAUUUUCAACUAAUAAAGUCACCAACCAGAUCACCUCCUAGACACAAAUUCACUAUUAAAUUCGCCAAAACUUAAGCAUUUUCAACAAAUAAAGUCACCAACAACAUCACCUUCUAAACAAAAGUUCACUUUUAAAGUCACCAAAACUAAAGCAUUUUCAACUAAUAAAGUCACCAACCAGAUCACCUCCUAGACACAAAUUCACUAUUAAAUUCGCCAAAACUUAAGCAUUUUCAACAAAUAAAGUCACCAACAACAUCACCUUCUAAACAAAAGUUCACUUUUAAAGUCACCAAAACUUAAGCAUUUUCAACUAAUAAAGUCACCAACCUCAUCACCUCCUAAACACUAAUCCAUUAUUAAAGUCACCAAAACUUAAACAUUUUCAACAAAUAAAGUCACCAACAAUAUCACCUUCUAAACACUAAUUCACUAUUAAAGUCACCGGCACUUAAGCAUUUUCAACAAAUAAAGUAACCAACAACAUCACCUUCUAAACAAAAGUUCACUUUUAAAGUCACCAAAACUUAAGCAUUUUCAACUAAUAAAGUCACCAACCACAUCACCUCCUAAACACUAAUUCACUAUUAAAGUCACCAAAACUUAAGCAUUUUCAACAAAUAAAGUCACCAACAACAUCAUCUUCUAAACACUAGUUCACUAUUAAAG
This 1085-nucleotide long non-coding RNA is filed under the name Capsicum annuum. Its description in RNAcentral is "long non-coding RNA (CANN_LNC000253)". The record is from RNAcentral. Lineage: Eukaryota; Viridiplantae; Streptophyta; Magnoliopsida; Solanales; Solanaceae.